UGCAGUCGAGCGAUGAUGCCCAGCUUGCUGGGUUGAUUAGUGGCGAACGGGUGAGUAACACGUGAGUAACCUGCCCCUGACUCUGGGAUAAGCGUUGGAAACGACGUCUAAUACUGGAUAUGAUCGCCGGCCGCAUGGUCUGGUGGUGGAAAGAUUUUUUGGUUGGGGAUGGACUCGCGGCCUAUCAGCUUGUUGGUGAGGUAAUGGCUCACCAAGGCGACGACGGGUAGCCGGCCUGAGAGGGUGACCGGCCACACUGGGACUGAGACACGGCCCAGACUCCUACGGGAGGCAGCAGUGGGGAAUAUUGCACAAUGGGCGAAAGCCUGAUGCAGCAACGCCGCGUGAGGGAUGACGGCCUUCGGGUUGUAAACCUCUUUUAGUAGGGAAGAAGCGAAAGUGACGGUACCUGCAGAAAAAGCACCGGCUAACUACGUGCCAGCAGCCGCGGUAAUACGUAGGGUGCAAGCGUUGUCCGGAAUUAUUGGGCGUAAAGAGCUCGUAGGCGGUUUGUCGCGUCUGCUGUGAAAUCCCGAGGCUCAACCUCGGGCUUGCAGUGGGUACGGGCAGACUAGAGUGCGGUAWGGGAGAUUGGAAUUCCUGGUGUAGCGGUGGAAUGCGCAGAUAUCACGAGGAACACCGAUAGCGAACGCAGAUCUCUGGAGCGUACUGACGCUGAYGAGCGUAAGCAUGGGGAGCGAACAUGAUUAGAUACCCUGCUAGURCAUGGCGUAAACGAUGGCGCUAGAUGUACGGACCAAUGC
RNAcentral lists this ribosomal RNA (764 nucleotides) under Curtobacterium sp. Its description in RNAcentral is "bacterial SSU rRNA". Lineage: Bacteria; Bacillati; Actinomycetota; Actinomycetes; Micrococcales; Microbacteriaceae. The record is from RNAcentral.